UGUAUGGAAUUUGUUUCAAGAGAUACAUAUUUUAAAAGGCACAGAGUUUGUAUUCGGUGUCUGCACUUGCAUUAGGAAACCCUGAGAUCAUCUGUGGGAUGAGGAGGAGGGAGGACCGAAUGUGCAGUGGACAGAAAUGAGGGCAAGACAUUUCCUAAACAUCUUUUCAUAUCUUCUUAUCUUUGAACAAUGUAAAUAUAGUACCUAUUCAAAAAUAAGUUUAAAAAGUAAAAUUUAGGGAGUUCUCUUCGUUAACAAACCCAGCUAGGAUCCAUGAGGAUAUGAGUUCUAUCCCUGGCCUCACUCAGUGGGUGAAGGAUCUGGCAUUGCCCUGAGCUGUGGUGUAGGUUGAAGACGCGGCUCGGAUCUCAGGUUGCUGUGUCUGUGGUGUAGGCCAGCAGCUGCUGUUCCGAUUAGACCCCUGGCCUAGGAACUUCCAUAUGCCUCGAGUGUAGCCCUAAAAAGAAAAAGAAAAAAUAAUAAUACUAGUAAAAAAUUUUACUAGAAAAACUCUUUUAAAAUUUCAUAUAUGCAAAAGUUGUGUCAAGAAAUAAUUGUCUAUGGACUUCCCCUGUGGCCUAGGUGCUAUUUCUGCUCUGGUUUGAUCCCUGCAACAGCGGCAACCCAAGACACUGCAGUGAUGACACAAGGUCCUUACCCCCCUGCCCUACGAGGGAACUCCUCCUUAGUGCCUUUUUUUUUUUUUUUUUUUUGUCUUUUGUCUUUUUGUUGUUGUUGUUGUUGCUAUUUCUUGGGCCGCUCCCGCGGCAUAUGGAGAUUCCCAGGCUAGGGGUUGAAUCGGAGCUGCAGCCACGGGCCUACGCCAGAGCCACAGCAACGCAGGAUCCGAGCCGCGUCUGCAGCCUACACCACAGCUCACGGCAACGCCGGAUCGUUAACCCACUGAGCAAGGGCAGGGACCGAACCCGCAACCUCAUGGUUCGUAGUCGGAUUCAUUAACCACUGCGCCACGACAGGAACUCCAUUAGUGCCUUUUUUAAAAGGGUUUCACUUUCAGAAACUUAGUUUCUGUUUAAAGAUACAAAUCUGUCACUAUAUUCUUACUACAUCCUUAAGAGCAAAUUAUAGACUUUUGACAAGAUCCAGCGCCUAUCAGAUAAAAAAGUUAAAACAAAUAAACAAACAAACAAAAACUUGUUACA
Molecule: long non-coding RNA, 1163 nt
Filed under: Sus scrofa (pig)
Lineage: Eukaryota; Metazoa; Chordata; Mammalia; Artiodactyla; Suidae
Description: lncRNA (ENSSSCG00070022970.1)
Source: RNAcentral